RNAcentral lists this ribosomal RNA (318 nucleotides) under Triticum aestivum (bread wheat). RNAcentral's name for it is "partial small subunit ribosomal RNA". The record is from RNAcentral. Lineage: Eukaryota; Viridiplantae; Streptophyta; Magnoliopsida; Poales; Poaceae.
AUGCAAGGUAUGGCUCUUGCCAUACAUCAUUCAAACUUACUGGUGGUAUUGCAAUCGGAUUCCCUGGAAGCUUUAUCUUGCCUGUCCACAAAUGCUCUGCUGCGGUCAGCUUAUGGUCAGUUAGUCCUAGAGAUUAAACAUUUAGCUGGUACUAGGGAGUUUGUACCUCAAAAGAUUAGUCGUUUUCAGAAUAGAGUUGCCGAUCGUUUGGCUUGUUACAGCCGAACAGAGCAAGCCUCUGCUGUUUGGCUCCAUUCUGCUCCACCGUGUAUCAAGGACAUGUGGCCUCUCGACUGUAACUCUGUGGCUUUGCAAUAA